Molecule: ribosomal RNA, 540 nt
Filed under: uncultured bacterium
Lineage: Bacteria
Description: bacterial SSU rRNA
Rfam family: Bacterial small subunit ribosomal RNA
Source: RNAcentral
AAUGGGCGAAAGCCUGACGUAGCGACACCGCGUGAGCGAAGAAGCCCCCUUGGGGUGUAAAAGCUCUGUCAGCUGGAACGAAAAAAAAUGACGGUACCAGCAGAGGAAGCAUCGGCUAACUACGUGCCAGCAGCCGCGGUAAGACGUAGGAUGCAAGCGUUGUCCGGAUUUAUUGGGCGUAAAGAGUUCGUAGGUGGUUUGUUAAGUUUGGUGUUAAAAGAUUGGGGCUCAACCCUGAAACUGCACUGAAUACUGGCAGACUCGAGUGUGGUAGAGGCUAGUGGAAUUCCCAGUGUAGCGGUGAAAUGCGUAGAUAUUGGGAAGAACACCGGUGGCGUAGGCGACUAGCUGGGCCAUAACUGACACUGAGGAACGAAAGCCAGGGGAGCGAAUGGGAUUAGAUACCCCAGUAGUCCUGGCCGUAAACGAUGGAUACUAGGCGUAUCGGGUAUCGACCCCUGAUGUGCCGCAGCUAACGCGAUAAGUAUCCCGCCUGAGUAGUACGGCCGCAAGGUUGAAACUCAAAGGAAUUGACGGGGG